UACGAAGGGGGCUAGCGUUGCUCGGAAUCACUGGGCGUAAAGCGCACGUAGGCGGAUCUUUAAGUCAGGGGUGAAAUCCCAAGGCUCAACCUUGGAACUGCCUUUGAUACUGGGGAUCUCGAGUCCGGAAGAGGUUGGUGGAACUGCGAGUGUAGAGGUGAAAUUCGUAGAUAUUCGCAAGAACACCAGUGGCGAAGGCGGCCAACUGGUCCGGCACUGACGCUGAGGUGCGAAAGCGUGGGGAGCAAACAGG
This 253-nucleotide ribosomal RNA is filed under the name uncultured bacterium. RNAcentral describes it as "partial 16S ribosomal RNA". It matches the Rfam family "Bacterial small subunit ribosomal RNA", at positions 524 to 776 of the family's 1533-position model. The record is from RNAcentral.